UAGUGGCGCACGGGUGAGUAACACGUGGGAACAUACCUUAUAGUACGGAAUAACUGCGGGAAACUGUAGCUAAUACCGUAUAUUCCAGCAAUGGGAAAGAUUUAUCGCUAUAAGAUUGGCCCGCGCAAGAUUAGCUUGUUGGUGAGGUAAAAGCUCACCAAGGCUUCGAUCUUUAGCUGGUUUGAGAGGACGAUCAGCCACACUGGGACUGAGACACGGCCCAGACUCCUACGGGAGGCAGCAGUAGGGAAUAUUGGACAAUGGGGGCAACCCUGAUCCAGCAAUGCAGCGUGAGUGACGAAGGCCUUAGGGUUGUAAAACUCUUUCAUCGGUGAGGAUAAUGACAGUAGCCGAAGAAGAAGGACCGGCUAAU
RNAcentral lists this ribosomal RNA (373 nucleotides) under uncultured Alphaproteobacteria bacterium. RNAcentral describes it as "bacterial SSU rRNA". It matches the Rfam family "Bacterial small subunit ribosomal RNA", at positions 93 to 501 of the family's 1533-position model. The record is from RNAcentral. Lineage: Bacteria; Pseudomonadati; Pseudomonadota; Alphaproteobacteria.